AACGAGCGCAACCCUUGCCUUUAGUUGCCAGCAGUUCGGCUGGGCACUCUAAAGGGACUGCCGGUGUUAAACCGGAAGGAAGGUGGGGGAGUGACGUCCAAGUCCUCAUGGCCGUUUAUGACCAGGGCUACACACGUACUACAAUGGCCGAUACAAAAGGGCAGCGACACUGCGAGGUGAAGCCAAUCCCGUAAAAUCGGUCUCAGUCCGGAUUGGAGUCUGCAACUCGACUCCAUGAAGUUGGAAUCGCUAGUAAUCGUGGAUCAGCAUGCCACGGUGAAUACGUUCCCGGGCCUU
RNAcentral lists this ribosomal RNA (297 nucleotides) under uncultured Desulfobulbus sp. Its description in RNAcentral is "partial 16S ribosomal RNA". It matches the Rfam family "Bacterial small subunit ribosomal RNA", at positions 1091 to 1382 of the family's 1533-position model. Lineage: Bacteria; Pseudomonadati; Thermodesulfobacteriota; Desulfobulbia; Desulfobulbales; Desulfobulbaceae. The record is from RNAcentral.